AUUUCUUGCAUUUUUUUUAAGAAGGAAUAAAUCUUUCACCUUUUACUAAAGAUUUCCAUGGAGAGAGUCAAGAGUUUUAUUGGUAUUUUUUGUUUGCCCUGCAUUUGUAGGGUU
Protopterus annectens (West African lungfish) is the source of this 114-nucleotide small nuclear RNA. RefSeq annotates it as U5 spliceosomal RNA. NCBI's taxonomy places the organism in Eukaryota, Metazoa, Chordata, Ceratodontiformes, Protopteridae. The transcript has a single exon. The record is from RefSeq and is a predicted model, not a curated record.